This 467-nucleotide ribosomal RNA is filed under the name uncultured bacterium. Its description in RNAcentral is "bacterial SSU rRNA". It matches the Rfam family "Bacterial small subunit ribosomal RNA", at positions 355 to 825 of the family's 1533-position model. The record is from RNAcentral.
UAGGGAAUAUUGGACAAUGGGUGAGAGCCUGAUCCAGCCAUGCCGCGUGCAGGAAGAAGGCGUUAUGCGUUGUAAACUGCUUUUUGCCAGGGGAUAAAAAGACCGUGCGCGGUUAAUUGAAGGUACCUGGUGAAUAAGCCACGGCUAACUACGUGCCAGCAGCCGCGGUAAUACGUAGGUGGCAAGCGUUGUCCGGAUUUAUUGGGUUUAAAGGGUGCGUAGGUGGCCCUGUAAGUCAGUGGUGAAAUAUCUCAGCUUAACUGAGAGGGUGCCAUUGAUACUGCAGGGCUCGAGUACAGAUGAGGUAGGCGGAAUUGACGGUGUAGCGGUGAAAUGCAUAGAUAUCGUCAAGAACACCGAUAGCGAAGGCAGCUUACCAAGCUGUAACUGACACUGAGGCACGAAAGUGUGGGGAUCAAACAGGAUUAGAUACCCGUGUAGUCCCUGAGCGGGCUGGCAAGGCGCAU